UCGAGAAUCAUUCGCAAUGGGCGAAACCCUGACCCAGCAACGCCGCGUGAAGGAUGAAGUAUUUCGGUAUGUAAACUUCGAAAGAAUAGGAAGAAUAAAUGACGGUACUAUUUAUAAGGUCCGGCUAACUACGUGCCAGCAGCCGCGGUAAUACGUAGGGACCAAGCGUUGUUCGGAUUUACUGGGCGUAAAGGGCGCGUAGGCGGCAUGACAAGUCACUUGUGAAAUCUCUGGGCUUAACCCAGAACGGCCAAGUGAUACUGUCGCGCUAGAGUGCAGAAGGGGCAAUCGGAAUUCUUGGUGUAGCGGUGAAAUGCGUAGAUAUCAAGAGGAACACCUGAGGUGAGGACGGGUUGCUGGGCUGACACUGACGCUGAGGCGCGAAAGCCAGGGGAGCAAACGGGAUUAGAUACCCGUGUAGUCCCUGAGCGGGCUGGCAAGGCGCAU
RNAcentral lists this ribosomal RNA (447 nucleotides) under uncultured bacterium. RNAcentral describes it as "bacterial SSU rRNA". It matches the Rfam family "Bacterial small subunit ribosomal RNA", at positions 355 to 825 of the family's 1533-position model. The record is from RNAcentral.